GCUCCGUGUCCGCAGGCCCCUGCCUGCAAUGCCGCCCAACUUUCCAAACUCAUUAGGCUUUGUGUCCAGUUGGUGGUGACUUCACCGCGGAACAGAAGCGGACCUGGUGGCAAAGUUUGGGGCAGCACCGCCUUCAGCAAACGGGAACGCUGACUUUUCCCCUACAAACAUCUCAUUGGGCUACUGACCUACUUUGGAAGUUCCACAUUUGACAGUGAAUAAAUGUCUUCUAAAUUCUACUGUACUUCUUAAACCACGGGUGUUCAAAGCAUGGUCAGAGCAAAACAAAGCUCCAGCAAUUGCUCUCAGCUUCGAUCCUUACUGAGUUUCCUUCAGGUUUGGUGUACAGUGUGGAAAUUUGAUAAAGGCCGAUCUGAGACAAGCUGAGAUGUCAAAGCACCGCGCCCGGCCCUGGUGGCACGUCGCCGGCACCUUUCUCAACACUGGGGUUUAUUUAACAUUCUGCCAGCGGGUGGAUACACGGCGGGAGCCGCGUCGCGCGCAGACGAGCCCUCUUGACAGCACAGAAUUUAUUUUUUUUCAGUAG
Molecule: long non-coding RNA, 547 nt
Filed under: Meleagris gallopavo (turkey)
Lineage: Eukaryota; Metazoa; Chordata; Aves; Galliformes; Phasianidae
Description: lncRNA (ENSMGAG00000022890.1)
Source: RNAcentral